Molecule: ribosomal RNA, 473 nt
Filed under: uncultured organism
Description: partial 16S ribosomal RNA
Rfam family: Bacterial small subunit ribosomal RNA
Source: RNAcentral
UACACUCCUACGGGAGGCAGCAGUGGGGAAUUUUGGACAAUGGGCGAAAGCCUGAUCCAGCCAUGCCGCGUGCAGGAUGAAGGCCUUCGGGUUGUAAACUGCUUUUGUACGGAACGAAACGGCCUUUUCUAAUAAAGAGGGCUAAUGACGGUACCGUAAGAAUAAGCACCGGCUAACUACGUGCCAGCAGCCGCGGUAAUACGUAGGGUGCAAGCGUUAAUCGGAAUUACUGGGCGUAAAGCGUGCGCAGGCGGUUAUGUAAGACAGUUGUGAAAUCCCCGGGCUCAACCUGGGAACUGCAUCUGUGACUGCAUAGCUAGAGUACGGUAGAGGGGGAUGGAAUUCCGCGUGUAGCAGUGAAAUGCGUAGAUAUGCGGAGGAACACCGAUGGCGAAGGCAAUCCCCUGGACCUGUACUGACGCUCAUGCACGAAAGCGUGGGGAGCAAACAGGAUUAGAUACCCGUGUAGUCCC